This 253-nucleotide ribosomal RNA is filed under the name uncultured bacterium. Its description in RNAcentral is "partial 16S ribosomal RNA". It matches the Rfam family "Bacterial small subunit ribosomal RNA", at positions 524 to 776 of the family's 1533-position model. The record is from RNAcentral.
UACGGGGGGGGCAAGCGUUGUUCGGAAUUACUGGGCGUAAAGGGCUCGUAGGCGGCCAACUAAGUCAGACGUGAAAUCCCUCGGCUUAACCGGGGAACUGCAUCUGAUACUGGAUGGCUUGAGAUUGGGAGAGGGAUGCGGAAUUCCAGGUGUAGCGGUGAAAUGCGCAGAUAUCAGGAGGAACACCGGUGGCGAAGGCGGGUCUCUGGGCCGAUACUGACGCUGAGGAGCGAAAGCGUGGGGAGCAAACAGG